This 451-nucleotide ribosomal RNA is filed under the name uncultured bacterium. RNAcentral's name for it is "partial 16S ribosomal RNA". It matches the Rfam family "Bacterial small subunit ribosomal RNA", at positions 354 to 796 of the family's 1533-position model. The record is from RNAcentral.
GUGGGGAAUAUUGGACAAUGGGGGGAACCCUGAUCCAGCCAUGCCGCGUGUGUGAAGAAGGCCUUUUGGUUGUAAAGCACUUUAAGCGAGGAGGAGGCUACCGAGAUUAAUACUCUUGGAUAGUGGACGUUACUCGCAGAAUAAGCACCGGCUAACUCUGUGCCAGCAGCCGCGGUAAUACAGAGGGUGCAAGCGUUAAUCGGAUUUACUGGGCGUAAAGCGCGCGUAGGUGGCCAAUUAAGUCAAAUGUGAAAUCCCCGAGCUUAACUUGGGAAUUGCAUUCGAUACUGGUUGGCUAGAGUAUGGGAGAGGAUGGUAAAAUUCCAGGUGUAGCAGUGAAAUGCGUAGAGAUCUGGAGGAAUACCGAUGGCGAAGGCAGCCAUCUGGCCUAAUACUGACACUGAGGUGCGAAAGCAUGGGGAGCAAACAGGAUUAGAAACCCCAGUAGUCC